AAGCAGCAUCUGCCUUUUAAGAGCCCCCUGCUCCCCCCUCCCCCCAUUGCUAUGCACCCUGAAGCUUGUGAAACCCUGGUGUAGCUGGUGGGGUGAUCUGGCUCCAGGUGACCUGGUAGCAUUGCCAGUUCCCGGAGAGACAAAGUCCCCAGAGCCAGAGGCUGGGGCGGUGGUGAGACGGCAACUCUUGCCUGUGUGUGGGCACUGUCGGCAGGCUGAUUCAGAGCGCGCCGAAAACUCGGUCACUGGGCAGCCUGGAUGAGCAGCAUGACCACGGGAGCCUUCGCUCAAAGGAAACCUGAGAUCCCACGCUGUUACCACACCUGCUGGUGCACGUGGCCGGAUGUGGGAGCCCCUCAGUUGGGAAGUUUACGUUGCGUCAGUCCCAGCAGACGGCAGUAAGGAUAGCUGUUCUUCUGGUGGAGGGAACAGAUGAUUGGUCAGCUAUACAUCUGGAUCCGUCUCUGGUCCAACCACUGAUCACUGAUGAGGCUCUUCAGCAGUUCGAACGAAAGAGGCCAGGCUGCCAAGGCGUACUGAGCAUGUGUCACGCCCUCGGGGAUUUAUACAUCUGUAGAAUAUUACCACCGAAGGCAAGUGAAGACAUGAUCUCCAAACCCAGCUUUUUCAGGUAUCCUGGCAUCGGCAGAGUUCUCUUCCCCUCAUCUUUGGAAAGUUUCGCAAGCUGGGCCCCUCCUGUGUGUAGCCAACAAUGAUGUUUUGUGUCUUCAUCCCGUUUGAAGGGCCUGGCACACAAACAGCCCAGCCUAUUCAUUCCUAGAGCAAUUUUACAUAUGCAAGACCAAAGCCAAGAUUAAUGUCUUCAUCCUCGACGUGCUCAUUCAGACACGUUCUGGUUUUGCAGUGUGCUUGCAAGGAGCCCCUUAUUCAAGCAGACCAAGAAAACGUGAGACUUUCUACAUGUGUAUUCACUUCACAACCAACAUGUCAAUGCAUGGAUGGUUUUAUUUCUGGUGACCAGCAAAAUAGACGAAAGGAAGAACGGUGAUUAUCAGAAGGCAAGCCAGUGAUUGUUAAAAGCCAGCUGUGUUUGUGUGUCCACCACCGUGCUGAAAGAUCGUUCUGGAGGCUGGACGUCCCAGAUCACGGGCCCAGUACAUUCAGUACUGGGUGAAGACCCGCUUCCUGGUUCAAGGACGUCUGUCUUCUCACUGCGCCCUCACGGAGGAAGACAUAAAUAAAUAUUGACCUGAAAUGACCAGUCUAAGAGGCGUGAUCUCUGUUGGCCAUUUGGAUGAGAAGGUAGGUCUCUUGUUAUCUGCACACUACAGUAUAAUUAAGUAAAGAAAUAGUAACUUUACAUACAGACCUCUGUUAAUCACUCUGUCAAUGGUAGAACUUGCUAAAAUACUCAGUAGAGGUAAGAAACGGAGUCUGGCCAUGCACAAUCAUAGGUAAGAGUCACCAUCGUUAUGCAUUUAUUAUUUUCCGUGAGUUAUAAGUACAUGCAACAGUUAGCCUUCCUGUUCUGGUUACAACGUGAAGGUUUGUAUAAAAAGAUUCAGAGAUAGUUGGAAUCGUGGGAAUGAGCAAACUUAGUUACUAAAUCCAUGGCACAAGGUGUAAGAAAGGGCAUUAAAUAAAUAAGUCAUUAUCACAAGUGACGCUGACUAGUAGGAAGGACAGAAUUACUGUGGGUACUUGCACGAUACAGACACGAGUCAAAAUUCAGCGUCGCCAUCACGGGUUUCAGAGCACAUAAGACACACUACGGGGGCUUUGAAGUCGAAUGUUGUAACUUCCCGGGGCUUACUCCUGUAAUUUACUCAGUUCCUUAUGCAAGGCAAAGAAUCACUGGCUGUCCCCGGUUGGGGACAUCUGGCGGGUAAGGAGCCAGGGAUGCUGUGCUACACCCCAGAGCGUAACCGGCCCCAGCGCCCCAUCUGCUGAGCUGCAGAAAGCCUGCUUUGUAGAGUUAGUGACGGGCUCUUUCAGGUUCCCAGGAAACAGACGUAUCUUUAAACUUGGGUUUGUUUCAUAAUCGUUUCAAAAAACUCCCUGCCAUCAAUUUUAGUGUCUCUACUAUGUCAUAUUAAAACAACAAAUGGCUUAAAAGGGCACACGCUCACUUAUAAAUGUCGCCCCACGGGGCCCCAGUUAGAAAAAGAGGGCAGAACAGGUAACUUCACCGGCCGCUGUGCUGAAGCCGCCAGCCGGGACUUGAGGACUUGCUGUUUUGGGUGGGCAUUUUGAAGAGUGAAUACUGUCACUGAAUAUAUGUGUCCUCAUAGAAGAGAGAUGCAUUUAAUUUCAAUAAGAUGUAUUCGAGACUUAGCCACGUAGACUGUGUUUAGAGAAAAAAAAAAAACAACCCAUAGGUUAUAUCCCUUUAUUAGGGCUCAAAUUUUUAAAAUUAAAGUAUAUUUUGGCUAAUUUGCAUAUGAUUAAAAUUCAUAGAAGAAACUCAUGUUUCUUUAAUCACCCAAUCAAUAGCAUUUUUCUCCCAAAAAUGUGAAUAAUAUUUAAGUUACGAAUGUUACUGCAGAAUUAGAUGCUCCUAGGAGCUGCUUUCGAUUUCCUAAGGGAGCUGUAAGCUUCAGAACGUUCAUGCAAACUAAACAUAGAUUUGCUCAUCGUCUCUUACCCAGAUAAAAGAAACAUAAUUAAACUUUAUAAAAUUAAACUUAUAUAAUAAUUUAAUAUUUUGUAUGUAUGUAUACACGCCUCCAUUUUGAACUAUACAACCAUACAGAAAUUUGCUGGCGCAAAUAUUGGAUUUGUUCGUGACAAAGUAACAGACGAACUUGUAGCCAAUGUUAGACAUCUUCAUUUGCGGAAAUUUGACAAUUUGAAAUUCAGCUGCUGCUAAGGGCACUGGCAUGAGUCAGAGCUUCCUGGAAGAUGCUGUGGUGUUGGGUCAAGCUCGGGGCUGUUUGAAAGGAGGGCUGUCUGCCGUGCUGUGCGUUCCAAAUGCGAAACUCUGGGAACCAGGUGACCUCACACCACGUUGUGCUAAGGGUGUCGCAGACCCUGUUGGGAGCUGCAGAAAACACUUAGGAAGCAACACGCGCUUCCUGCUGAGACUCCCCAGGAGCGUCACUUGUGCUAAGCUGCAAAAUAUUGCCUGUGUCGUCGACUUUUAAAAGUCGUUACCGCACAGGAACCAGUUUUCAGUAUCUGUCACCACAUAUCCAUGCGUAUGGACCGUGUUUCCUAAAGAUGUGCAUCGACAGGACAGGAAAAUCAGUCUCUCUCCAUUUUGUAGCGCAUUUGCUUCCUGACACCGUGGAGAAGCCACAAGAAGUGAAGGAGUCCUGAGUUCUCUCCUCCAGGAGCGGCCAGGGCGUCCGCACGCUCUCAGGAAACCACACCACGGUUUGUUUUUUGACAGAGAAGGGGAGGAGCAGAGAGAAUCCCAAGCAGGCCCUGCACUGUCAGCGUGGAGCCCGACGUGCGGCUCGAACUCACGAACCAUGAGAUCCAGACCUGACUGAAACCCAGAGCUGGACAGUCAGCCUACUGAGCCACCCAGCACCUAUCAUAGGUCACGAACACUUGCACAACAAUGGCUCCAGAAGAAGAAAAUGUGGGAAGACGCCUCAGCAGUAUGGCACGCAUUGUGGCAUGAGUACCCCCCCCCCCACCUCCAGUGGCCGCUGACGACCAGCCGCGGACAUGAGCGACAUGCACACAGGAAGCAAGUCGACACCUACGGAAGGCAGUAUCUGCGACUGUGAGAUGAUGCUGUUGGGCAAGCUGUUCUGUCUGCUCUCCGUCGUGACCUCGGCCCAGGUCACCUGAAAGCCAGUCAUGGGCUGAUAGAGAUUGGCUUUGGCCAUCUUCCAAGAAAAGUGGCCCGUGAUGUUAACAUCUUGGACGACAAACGAGGCAGAAAGGUUCUCGGGCUUGGCGAGCACCUUGGCAGGCACGUGACCUGGAGGGAGAGGACAUAAGAGGCAGAGUUAGGCUGCGGGACGUGGGAGCUGUUUGCACAUAUCGCGGGCACUUCAGGCAGCCGCUCCCCAGGGGAGGCACACGCGGUCUGACCUCGGUCCUCAUGCAGGGCUUCAGGCCAUCACCUCCAUGACCUACGGGGACAGUCAGCCAGAGGUGGUCUCAUGCGGCCACUCUGCUGGGUGGUUUGGGGACUCUCUUUAGGACCCAGCCCUGGGGACGGGAGGAGAGAGGUCUCCGCCACGUGGCAAGAUCUGGCCACUUCCUCAAGAGAGAAGUGAGCGCCAUGACCGGGGUGGGUAGUGACGCUGUGAGAAGUGAUCCCGUGUCAGAGCCGCGUUUCGCAAGUCCUGGGGUACUCGUUCCGCCUCAGGACAGGAGGACAGGUCCCGGUAAGGAGAGCAAACGGAGGAAGGUCAGGGGAGGGGUGUUGUGCAAAGUACGUAAAGGUAGGUCACGUGGCACAGCGGUGGGGUGAAAACGAAAUAAUUUCUAUAGAACACGCCUGAGUACAAGCACUGGAGAAACCUUGGCUUCGUUUCUAAAGGGGUGAUACUGCCAGCAGAGGAUGUCACUGUUAGAGGUGACAGCAGAGGAUGUCGUGCUGUUAGAAGGACAGAAUGUGGCCCACGGCCAUAUACUGCCUCCCAACCUGGGCCGUCAGAUUUAGAAAGCGGGGGACGUUCGCUUUCUCGGGCGUUGUGCAAUACAGUUUGGAAAUGUUUUCCAAGUGUGGCUGGCCUCACAAUGCACGUUCAGCCCAAGACGUACCUGCUUCGCCGGGACAGCUCAUGUGCCGGUGGCUUUUCCCCUUCAGGGCAGAGCACGGCGGAGUCGUGAAGAAAACGGUUUCUGCCUUCAAGCGGCCCUUGGGCCGAAUCGGCUGCACAGUCACCUUAUAUUUGCAGGAAAACGACAGAUCCUGAAGAAUGAUAUAAUUUUCCUAGAGCGAGAGAGAGAGGGAAUAUGCUAGCCAUACGUCUCAUUAGGGACCAAGAUGUGGCAGAUGAGUCCUGUUCUAACCAGGAUAGUUUCCUGUGCAUGCGUGCAGUGUGGCUUUUAUAAAAACUACGAAGGAGACACUGUGCAUGUUCUGGUUCCUCACGACUGUGGGCCGUCCCAUGGCGUGGGACACGGCCCCUGGAAGAGAACAGGACCGCGGCGUGGCAGGACCGAAGCAGCUUCAUGGGACCUUCCAGGCCGCGUGGGACGGUUGCCAGCCACACAGUGAACGCCACAAACUUUGGGAACCACUUAAGAAAACAUAAAAGGAACAACGUUGGCGAGCAUGAGUCGGGACAAGUCAAAUCCAGUAAAAAGCUGUAUUUCUGCAGACCCACUGACAUGUUUUAUCUUACCACCUUAAAGUUACGUGAUCAAGAUAGGAUUCUAAAAAUACCCCACUUGCUUAGAAAAUAGUCCAAAGAAAAAUGUUCUGCCGAAAUAGCGUAUAUCAACAUGUGAGACAUGUGAGGCCAUGCCUUUGGAAAUCUUAGACUGUCCUGCUAGAUCACAGACAAGUUACUGGCAUCGAUAUUCUGGACACCUCACCGCCCUCUGCACCGUUUUGCUGUUGGUCCCUUGAUGGCCCUCUGUAGCUUGUGCAUCAGCCCCAAAUAUUUGGAAUAACACACUGGCUGGUACCGAAGGGUUCCUGCCUGCAAGGACGUAGCGUUCUGUUCAAGUGAAAAGUCAGAAACGGUCCUGGCACACCGGCUGCGACUCAGGGAACGUCUUUCCUUCCCCGGACGAGGAGGAACUAGCCAGCGACGCGGCAGAGCAAGAUGGGACGUGACAGGGUCGGACGGAAGUUCACAGGCACCGUCCCACCCGCAGAUCGUGCUGCCAACUCAGGACUCAGAGAACAAUUCAAAGCUUCUGUCCGGCUAAGUCGAGACACACGGGGGGUCUCAGAAGCGUUUCCCCCUGACCUGGGCGUUCCCCACGAACCGUGUCUGCAGCCUCUGCGUUUCAGGCCCUGCCGUGUGCCCCCACGGGACGGCGCCCUCAGCGGAUACUGCAGGACUGAACACAAGGACCGUUGUGUUUUCACUUCCACCUCGCGAUCACCCAACAGCUAAUCCGUGAGCACGAGCUGUGUGCGUCGUACCCCGGGCACAGCUCUCAGUCCGCGGUGUCCACACAUCGAGGGAAGUGAAGUCGCGCUGAGACUCGGGCGGUGUCACCGUCUCUUACCUGGGUGAUGCCAGAAGAGGUCUCUGCUCCGGCACUGCGGUUGUGGGCACAGACCUCCGGCAGCCACUGCACGUGGUAUCGGUCGACGCUGAGAUCUGUAAGGUCAGAAGGCACAGAGAGGACGGUCUGGAGCCACGGGCCGCACAGCCCGCGGCUCUCAGAUCGCGACAACGGGCAGGGAGGAAAUGAAGCUGUGGAAGGGAGCCGCAGACGCAGAGCCGCGGAGGCGAGCGGGCCUGCAGAACUCACUGUCGGGAGGAAAGCCUGGGGGGAAACCUGGCGAAAUGCGAGAGCCAGCCGGAAAGCACAGGAAAGUCACAGCCACGGGGCUGUCAGGAGGUCUUGAGAGAAACGUAGCCGCGGGGCCGGCGCUGAGCGGAACCCCCACAAGAAAGGGCGGCACUCGGCCGUGGGCGUCUUUGCUCCUGGGAGACGGAAUGAGCGUCCCGAGUGUGAAUCCCACAGGUGGCUGACAGAGCCGACAGACCCAGGCAAAAUCGAAGCGUUUUCCUCACGCUGGGAGCACUGAGCAGUCCGACGAGCUCCCCUGUGUGCCUCACACGUUCCCCCAGCACAGACCCAGGUGGGCACCUUUCCCUUCCAGCGUGCACAGGUGCAUAUCCUCACACGCCCGAGUGUCUGAUCUCUGCGGAACCCUGACUUGCCGUCCAAGACAGAACGUGGGUUCCCUGGCACAGCGUGUCCACUGCCCACACGUGGCCUCACUUGGGGCAAAUCUCUCAGAUAAAGGACAGACUGAUGACGAGCCCCCCGCCGAGCGUGGGAAGAGGAGGUGUGGCCGGCAUCAGGUUUAUUCACCAACCCGCGGGCCCGAAGGUGUGGAAAGGCACUGCCCUGCCACCGAUUAACACCGCGUCCCCGCUGUUCACGCCAAGUGUUUCACGGAGGUUUCCAGAGGGUUAAACGCUUUGACGGGAUUGGGUGGUUCUAGUGGGAGUUCACUUGGAGCACUUUGGAUCGAGAAAAGAGGAGCUUUCAGUCAGAGAGGACGAGCGGAUAUCAAGCGGGCACCAUCAGUUCCGGGAACCACUUACCAGAGGUUUUAAGAAUUACCCAACAGGCAUCGGGGCUUUUUUUUUUUUUCAGGGGAAGAAUCGUACGUUAUACACAAGAAUGAAGUCAAUGAAUGAAUUCAUAUGCUUUCUUUCAAGUGGUGCCGUUCCAGGUAUACAAACCGCUGCUCUCGGGACUUAAAAGCUCACAGAGCUACAUAAACAACAAACAAAGCAUGUAAAUGUACGUUAGGCCAGAAGGUAAUUUGGCUACAGAUUAAUGCCCAAGAUAAGCAGGCAGGUGUGUUGCCUUAUCGAUUCACUGGCUUAUCUCCUUGAGACAGAACUUUGCAGUGAACGUGGGGAGGAGGCCUGGAGGUUGCUGUGGGCAGAGCAUGCGGCCGCGAGCAGGCCAUCUGCCUGCCACUGCCCAGCUACGGUGUUUGCAAUGACGAAAAUACCGCGCAUGUGGUGGCCCCUAGUCACUCGUGCCUGUAAAGCAACUGAAGUUCGUGGGUCCGAGCCCCGCGUCGGGCUCUGUGCUCACAUCUCGGAGCCUGGAGCCUGCAGCCUGCUUCGGGUUCUGUGACUCCUCUCUCUGCCCCUCCGCCUCUCACGCUCUCUCUCUCUCUCUCAAAAAUAAACAUGAAAAAACAACAUUUAAAAACAUUUAAAGACCUUAUCUGCUUUCAUGCUAUAACACUGUUUAUGAUUGUAGAAGCUUGAAAUAGACUUCUACUUACUUUUUCUGGGUGAGCUUACAUAUUACAACAUUUACAAUAUGCACUUUCCCUCUUUAAUAACUUCAAAAUGGCUCGUUACUGACCUCCUUGGCAUAGCAACCUGAUACUUGGGAUCAUUUCCUCAUUAACAACACUGGCAAGAAGAAACUGCUCUAGGGGCCUUGCCAACUAAAUUCUGUAGCAAUAAGGAUAACCAAAAAUACCUUUCCCAGCAAAACAAGUGACAAGAAAGGUCAAAGAGAAAAUUUAAGGGACGUAGAUAAGAACCGAAAAUUGUAUCUUGGGGUGCCUAGGUGGCUCAGUCGGUUAAGCGUCUGACUUCAGCUCACGUCAUGAUCUCACGGCUUAUGGGUUCGAGCCCCUCAUUGGGC
Molecule: long non-coding RNA, 8238 nt
Organism: Felis catus (domestic cat)
Lineage: Eukaryota; Metazoa; Chordata; Mammalia; Carnivora; Felidae
Exons: 12
Source: RefSeq, a predicted model, not a curated record